UGGAUAUCAGGAACGGAUGACGUCAGUCAUUAAUGGAUCACAGUUGACCAGGAGAAACUAAAAUCAUGGAAAACAAAACCAUGGAUAAGGCAGUACUACUGUAUACAGUUGGCCCUCCAUAUCCAUGCACUCUGCAUCAGUGGAUUCAAUCAGCCAUGGAUAAAAAAAUGUUUGAAAAAGUUUAAAAGAAUGGUUGUUUCUGUACUGAACAGGUUAGGUGUUCAAGCUGUGUUAAAUCACAUCCCUGAUGUUUAUGUGAUCAGGAUAUGUGCCCUUGAGUGACCACGCAGAAGUGCAUCUUCAAUGUUAGCUAAUACACCUCUAACGUAUUGAAGGAAAAAAAUCAAACCAUACAGACAGGACUGGAAUACAUAACUAGCUCUUCAGUGCAAAGACACAGACCUACGUCAUGAGAAACAACAGCCAACUAGGAACCAUAACCU
This 443-nucleotide long non-coding RNA is filed under the name Pongo abelii (Sumatran orangutan). RNAcentral's name for it is "lincRNA". The record is from RNAcentral. Lineage: Eukaryota; Metazoa; Chordata; Mammalia; Primates; Hominidae.